This 301-nucleotide ribosomal RNA is filed under the name uncultured bacterium. RNAcentral's name for it is "partial 16S ribosomal RNA". It matches the Rfam family "Bacterial small subunit ribosomal RNA", at positions 509 to 807 of the family's 1533-position model. The record is from RNAcentral.
CAGUCGCCACGGGAAUACGGAGGGUGCAAGCGUUAAUCGGAAUUACUGGGCGUAAAGCGUGCGUAGGCGGUUAUAUAAGACAGAUGUGAAAUCCCCGGGCUCAACCUGGGACCUGCAUUUGUGACUGUAUAGCUAGAGUACGGUAGAGGGGGAUGGAAUUCCGCGUGUAGCAGUGAAAUGCGUAGAUAUGCGGAGGAACACCGAUGGCGAAGGCAAUCCCCUGGACCGGUACUGACGCUCAUGCACGAAAGCGUGGGGAGCAAACAGGAUUAGAUACCCGAGUAGUCCCUGUCUCUUAUAC